RNAcentral lists this ribosomal RNA (253 nucleotides) under uncultured bacterium. RNAcentral's name for it is "partial 16S ribosomal RNA". It matches the Rfam family "Bacterial small subunit ribosomal RNA", at positions 524 to 776 of the family's 1533-position model. The record is from RNAcentral.
UACGUAGGUGGCAAGCGUUGUCCGGAUUUACUGGGCGUAAAGGGCGUGCAGGCGGUCUGUUAAGUGCAGGGUGAAAGCUCCCGGCUCAACUGGGAGAGGUCCUUGCAUACUGGCGGACUUGAGGGGGGUAGAGGAAAGUGGAAUUCCCGGUGUAGUGGUGAAAUGCGUAGAUAUCGGGAGGAAUACCGAUGGCGAAGGCAGGUCUCUGGGCUGACACUGACGCUCAUGCACGAAAGCGUGGGGAGCAAACAGG